This 253-nucleotide ribosomal RNA is filed under the name uncultured bacterium. RNAcentral's name for it is "partial 16S ribosomal RNA". It matches the Rfam family "Bacterial small subunit ribosomal RNA", at positions 524 to 776 of the family's 1533-position model. The record is from RNAcentral.
UACGGAGGGUGCGAGCGUUAAUCGGAAUUACUGGGCGUAAAGCGCACGCAGGCGGUUUGUUAAGCUAGAUGUGAAAGCCCCGGGCUCAACCUGGGAUGGUCACUUAGAACUGGCAGACUAGAGUCUUGGAGAGGGGAGUGGAAUUCCAGGUGUAGCGGUGAAAUGCGUAGAUAUCUGGAGGAACAUCAGUGGCGAAGGCGACUCCCUGGCCAAAGACUGACGCUCAUGUGCGAAAGUGUGGGUAGCGAACAGG